AUGUGGGAGUAGCACGACGCAGUUACACGUGUUGCAGAGAAGCCGCCAUUUCGGUGCGCUAACUGGAUCGAGAAUCAGGGUACCGCUACACUCUGGACAGGCACAAACUCCCUGGGUGAUCAUUGAUUGCUUGCAUGUUGGGUGCGGGCAAAGGAAACAUGGCAUGCCAGCCCCUUUCCCAACCUUGCCGGUGUCAUCAAGCUUGAGUGCGCCAAAAAGUUUGUCGAUGCCUUCGAAUGGAGGACUAUUGUAGCAACAGGGGCAUAGUGGAAAAGAUUUUGCAUCGGGGCCCACCAUUGAGAACAGAAGCAACUCAAAACCAUCAAGGGGGCAAACAAUUUCCUUGUAAAGCUGGAAAGGAUAAUAUCAUUAAUCAACCAAGUAUACGUGAACUGA
This 396-nucleotide ribosomal RNA is filed under the name Triticum aestivum (bread wheat). RNAcentral describes it as "partial small subunit ribosomal RNA". Lineage: Eukaryota; Viridiplantae; Streptophyta; Magnoliopsida; Poales; Poaceae. The record is from RNAcentral.